ACGUCCCACUCGUCCGCUGCGUCUGUGAGUGCGCCGGCUGCGCUCACCUGACGACUACUCGCUACGCUUUGUUACUC
Molecule: small RNA, 77 nt
Filed under: Xanthomonas euvesicatoria pv. citrumelonis
Lineage: Bacteria; Pseudomonadati; Pseudomonadota; Gammaproteobacteria; Lysobacterales; Lysobacteraceae
Description: sX9
Source: RNAcentral